Molecule: ribosomal RNA, 687 nt
Filed under: uncultured marine alpha proteobacterium
Lineage: Bacteria; Pseudomonadati; Pseudomonadota; Alphaproteobacteria
Description: bacterial SSU rRNA
Rfam family: Bacterial small subunit ribosomal RNA
Source: RNAcentral
UUUUCAGUGUCGCAGCGAAAGCGAUAAACACACCGCCUGGGGAGUACGACCGCAAGGUUAAAACUCAAAUGAAUUGACGGGGACCCGCACAAGUAGUGGAGCAUGUGGUUUAAUUCGAAGAUACGCGCAGAACCUUACCAACACUUGACAUGUUCGUCGCGACUCUAAGAGAUUAGAGUUUUCGGUUCGGCCGGACGAAACACAGGUGCUGCAUGGCUGUCGUCAGCUCGUGUCGUGAGAUGUUGGGUUAAGUCCCGCAACGAGCGCAACCCUCACUUUUAGUUGCCAUCAUUAAGUUGGGCACUCUGAAAGAACUGCCAGUGAUAAGCUGGAGGAAGGUGGGGAUGACGUCAAGUCCUCAUGGCCCUUACGUGUUGGGCUACACACGUGCUACAAUGGUAUCUACAACAGGAAGCAAAACAGCGAUGUUAAGCAAAUCCUUAAAAGAUACCUCAGUUCGGAUUGCACUCUGCAACUCGAGUGCAUGAAGCUGGAAUUACUAGUAAUCGUGGAUCAGCGUGCCACGGUGAAUGCGUUCCCGGGUCUUGUACACACCGCCCGUCACACCAUGGGAGUUGGUUCUACCUUAAGGCAAGGUUUAAAAUCCUUGACCACGGUAUAGUCAGCGACUGGGGUGAAGUCGUAACAAGGUAGCCGUAGGGGAACCUGCGGCUGGAUUACCUCCUU